UUCUUUUACAGGACCCAGAUGCUAUACAGUGGGAAAACCAGCCUGGCAACAUAGUGCGUAUUAAUAAAAGGACACCACAUCCUGCCAAAUUCCAGCUGCGCUAAUUGUAUUGUGUUCACAGAGCUCACAAGCUAUCAGAAAGUUGUAUGGCAACCACCUCCGGCGCCAAAUAGAACUGGCAGACAUAGACAUUCAGUACAAGAAGAAAAAGAUGGAAAAUCUUGCACUGGAGUCCGAAAUAAAAAGAGGACAAUUAGGAAACUGGACCUUGAAAUAAAAAAACUUGAGAGGGAGCUCCAAGAAGAUGACACAGCUCAAAAUAAAAAUGAGCAAUCAGUACAACCAAGUCAUCGUUAUAAGGCAUCGCCCUCUUUUGCCCACCCCCCCAGCACCAGGUGUGGCCACUGGCCUAUAUGAAGGCCCAAAAUUGUGUGUUCCUUUCUGCUCUGACAAUGGCAUGCCCAUUCGUGCGAGAUGGUGGAUGAAGAAGCACUUGUGCUGAGGAGAGCCUUCAGGCGAGAAAGGGUCUUCAGGGACCGGUUGGACCCACUGGCCUUCCCUGAUGACCAUCUAUAUGAAAGAUACAGGUUUUCUGCAGAUGGCAUCAGGUAUCUAUGCAGACUACUGGGUCCCAGGAUUAAGCACCGCACUGCACGG
This is a long non-coding RNA of Oncorhynchus nerka (sockeye salmon), 657 nucleotides long. RefSeq lists it as uncharacterized. The transcript is spliced from 3 exons. Lineage: Eukaryota; Metazoa; Chordata; Actinopteri; Salmoniformes; Salmonidae. The record is from RefSeq and is a predicted model, not a curated record.